AGACCCGAAACCCGGUGAUCUAGCCAUGGGCAGGUUGAAGGUUGGGUAACACUAACUGGAGGACCGAACCGACUAAUGUUGAAAAAUUAGCGGAUGACCUGUGGCUGGGGGUGAAAGGCCAAUCAAACCGGGAGAUAGCUGGUUCUCCCCGAAAGCUAUUUAGGUAGCGCCUCGUGAAUUCAUCUCCGGGGGUAGAGCACUGUUUCGGCCAGGGGGCCAUCCCGGCUUACCAAUCCGAUGCAAACUGCGAAUACCGGAGAAUGUUAUCACGGGAGACACACGGCGGGUGCUAACGUCCGUCGUGAAGAGGGAAACAACCCAGACCGCCAGCUAAGGUCCCAAAGUCAUGGUUAAGUGGGAAACGAUGUGGGAAGGCCCAGACAGCCAGGAUGUUGGCUUAGAAGCAGCCAUCAUUUAAAGAAAGCGUAAUAGCUCACUGGUCGAGUCGGCCUGCGCGGAAGAUGUAACGGGGCUAAACCAUGCACCGAAGCUGCGGCAGCGACACUGAUGUGUUGUUGGGUAGGGGAGCGUUCUGUAAGCCGUUGAAGGUGGCCUGUGAGGG
Molecule: ribosomal RNA, 562 nt
Filed under: Salmonella enterica
Lineage: Bacteria; Pseudomonadati; Pseudomonadota; Gammaproteobacteria; Enterobacterales; Enterobacteriaceae
Also listed under: 2 other names
Description: partial 23S ribosomal RNA
Rfam family: Bacterial large subunit ribosomal RNA
Source: RNAcentral